AGCGAACGCUGGCGGCAGGCUUAACACAUGCAAGUCGAACGGGCACUUCGGUGUCAGUGGCAGACGGGUGAGUAACACGUGGGAACGUACCUCUUGGUUCGGAACAACACAGGGAAACUUGUGCUAAUACCGGAUAAGCCCUUACGGGGAAAGAUUUAUCGCCGAGAGAUCGGCCCGCGUCUGAUUAGCUAGUUGGUAGGGUAAUGGCCUACCAAGGCGACGAUCAGUAGCUGGUCUGAGAGGAUGAUCAGCCACAUUGGGACUGAGACACGGCCCAAACUCCUACGGGAGGCAGCAGUGGGGAAUAUUGGACAAUGGGGGCAACCCUGAUCCAGCCAUGCCGCGUGAGUGAUGAAGGCCCUAGGGUUGUAAAGCUCUUUUGUGCGGGAAGAUAAUGACGGUACCGCAAGAA
This 412-nucleotide ribosomal RNA is filed under the name bacterium Ellin5041. RNAcentral's name for it is "bacterial SSU rRNA". It matches the Rfam family "Bacterial small subunit ribosomal RNA", at positions 29 to 486 of the family's 1533-position model. Lineage: Bacteria; Pseudomonadati; Pseudomonadota; Alphaproteobacteria; Hyphomicrobiales; Nitrobacteraceae. The record is from RNAcentral.